This 468-nucleotide ribosomal RNA is filed under the name uncultured bacterium. Its description in RNAcentral is "partial 16S ribosomal RNA". It matches the Rfam family "Bacterial small subunit ribosomal RNA", at positions 28 to 507 of the family's 1533-position model. The record is from RNAcentral.
GACGAACGCUGGCGGCGUGCUUAACACAUGCAAGUCGAACGGAAAGGCCCUGCUUUUGUGGGGUGCUCGAGUGGCGAACGGGUGAGUAACACGUGAGUAACCUGCCCUUGACUUUGGGAUAACUUCAGGAAACUGGGGCUAAUACCGGAUAGGAGCUCCUGCUGCAUGGUGGGGGUUGGAAAGUUUCGGCGGUUGGGGAUGGACUCGCGGCUUAUCAGCUUGGUGGUGGGGUAGUGGCUUACCAAGGCUUUGACGGGUAGCCGGCCUGAGAGGGUGACCGGCCACAUUGGGACUGAGAUACGGCCCAGACUCCUACGGGAGGCAGCAGUGGGGAAUAUUGCACAAUGGGCGGAAGCCUGACGCAGCAACGCCGCGUGCGGGAUGACGGCCUUCGGGUUGUAAACCGCUUUCGCCUGUGACGAAGCGUGAGUGACGGUAAUGGGUAAAGAAGCACCGGCUAACUACGUG